CAUGUUUUAAUCCCCACGGACAUUAUUUUUAUUUCUAAAUGUUAGGGCUGCGUGAUAUGGGUCGGUUUUAGGGGCAUGUUUUUAUUUGUAGGAACUCAAGGCUCACUCACUUAUUUAAUCUGCUUCCUUCAGUUCUCUUCACACUCACAGACCUCACGUACCUCUGCUACAAACACGUCAGUGUGCCCCGCUUUCUGUCUCUCCCUGGUAACUUUCUCCAUAAGUAGGCUACGGUGAGGGACAGAGGAGCAACGCUUGCAGGACUUUACAAAACAUUAAUUCAAUCAACCAUAAACUAUAUCGGUAUAAACUGCGUUGUCCAAUUUUUAUCUCUUUUGAAAUGAUCUCGGUAUACCGCCCAGCUCUACUAAUGUCCCUGGUUGGUGAAAUUAUUUAACUGGCGAGCUAACUAACAUGCUAAUAAGUUUGGCUAGCGCUAAGUAGGGAUGGGGAUCGAGACCCCGUUCUAAAAGUACCCGGAUCCAACAUUUCUCAAAAUCAAAGUUUGAGCUUCUCAAUACUGCUAUUGAGACUAGUGGGUCCUAUAAAGUAACGUUAUUUCUCGAGCGUCUGAUCUGUCUUGAGAUGCGAUGGAUAAGAAGGCUAAUGAUGGCACUGAAACGGUAUUAAACAGGCCCAGGACUGUUUAUCAUCAGGCUACAGCCUCUGCUACUCUAUUGGCUCCUACACACAGCAGCCAGCAGAGCGAGAUGUCCAAGAUGAAGUUAAGUUCGCUCCAGACCAUUCAGAUCCAGAUCUGAAUGUUUCUGUCUCUUCAGUUCCCAGAUGAGACUCUGUGGAGCGACAAGCUGCUCAACAUGAUUGUAGCUGUCAUCAACUCCACACAGGUAACAGCUGAUCAGGACUCACCUCUGCAGAACCUUUAGGCUGGUUCUGAUCCAGUUUGUGUUCAGUGAGUAGGACUCUAUGUUGUAGCUGCAGGAGCCCGGUGAUGUUCAGGAAGGACUCUGUGCUCAGCAUCCUCAAUGAGACACUCUCAGAGGACACCUGUCCUCGCAUCUUUGUCCAAGAGAGGUGAGGACAGACCAAGACAGACAGGUGAGGACUGUCUCUGGGUACCUGAACAGCGGUUGUCUCAGUCUUCAGUUUCAGCAGUAAACUGGCUCGGCACACCCUGGAACAGAUCCUGGAGUUCAUGGACAACCUGAGGCUGAGCACCACCAAGAACAGCUGUCACUACACAGGCUUAUUGAUUGCUUCAGGAGGUAAAGCAACCUGUUUGCCUGGGCAGAGGAGUACGAGGACUCCCAGACCAAGCCUCCCAAGUGUUCGGCCUCCUCACUUCCACCAACCACCAAUAAGGAGGCGAGCGCCUCAGUAUAUAGCCCCAGCUCCACCUGGCACUGUGUGAGGACAACCUGAAUCUGCGUCUCAUUCUCUGAUUGGUCUGUUUCGAAACCACACAGAAAUUUGAUAUUGUCUGAUUUGUGGAACCGGAAGCAGCUUUGCGUCUUCACCAAGGUUUGAAAAGUGAAGCCUCAAACCUGCAUUCUCUGUAACAGCCAGCAGGCAUUGUUAACAUUGUCCAAUGGCAAUUUUGUAUUUUAUCACUCAACACUAAUUUGAAUAGUGAUUUACUCUUCAAGUAACUGUGUGACUGCAUUUCCUUUGUGUGUUUCUGGUAAGUCAUGUUGGGUUUUAAAUUUCAUUCAUAGUUUUCUUAAAUUUGACCAGUUGAAACCUGCAGAAACUUUUUAUUCAGUUAUCUGUCUACCUGACUUAACAAUUUGCAUUUUGUGGGACUUAUUUUAGACUUUAUUUGCUUAAAACUCUACAUUUAAAGCUCCCUUUUAUAUUAAGUAAAAGUGCUGCUGAUGGAAUAAAGUUAUGCAUAGUCUCUUUUUCCUCAACACACUAAAGUAGUAAAAGGAAAUUUUAUUUAGCUCAAGUUAUUACUUAAUACCAAGAAAUCUCAUUAAGGAUCUGGACAUGGAGAAUGUUCAACAUGAAAACAAAUUGAAUUAAUUGACUGAUCAGAUAAUUAACCAGCAAUUUUGAUAAUCAGUCUAUUCAGCUUUAUGCACGAUGUGCCUUAUUUUGUGUCAAUGUAGAAAUGACAGUUGUUUAAGGUUUUGAUACUAAUAAAGAGAAAUUGAAUUGUAGUAAUGCAGUUGUAUUUUUCAGGACUAUCUGAAAAUGCUUGUCAAGCUUACUAGUAGAAAUUUUGUUGAGUGAGUUUCCAUUAGUAUUUGAGUCUAGCACAAUUGUAGUAUAAGUUGUGCACAAUUACAUUUAUUGAGUAAAUUAGUGGAAUUGUUAAGAAUCAAUUAAUGUAAUUUAGUAUUGUGAGGCCACUCUGUGGGAGUGAUACCUCACCGCUGUUAACCAUCUUUGUUUUGUUGAGGUGAUUGCUGAUUGGGUGAACCUUUGAGUCGGGAGAUAAAGCUCCACUUGGGCAAACUACUGGGGCUUCUGCCUUCUCUGCAACCCAGACGUCCACUGUGGCCUAACCAUCGUGACUGCCAUAUUUUGCUUUGAGUUAUUUAUGUUACAGCGACAAACCUUGCACAAUUAAAUAGUUAUGUUUAGUUCACUCUCUUGUUAAAUAAAUCACUUUUUGAUCAUUUA
This is a long non-coding RNA of Micropterus salmoides (largemouth bass), 2589 nucleotides long. RefSeq lists it as uncharacterized. The record is from RefSeq and is a predicted model, not a curated record. The transcript is spliced from 2 exons. Lineage: Eukaryota; Metazoa; Chordata; Actinopteri; Centrarchiformes; Centrarchidae.